RNAcentral lists this ribosomal RNA (253 nucleotides) under uncultured bacterium. RNAcentral describes it as "partial 16S ribosomal RNA". It matches the Rfam family "Bacterial small subunit ribosomal RNA", at positions 524 to 776 of the family's 1533-position model. The record is from RNAcentral.
GACGGAGGAUGCAAGCGUUAUCCGGAAUUAUUGGGCGUAAAGCGUCCGCAGGUGGCAUUUCAAGUCUGCUGUCAAAGACCGGGGCUUAACCCCAGAAAGGCAGUGGAAACUGAAAAGCUAGAGAGAGGUAGGGGCAGAGGGAAUUCCCAGUGUAGCGGUGAAAUGCGUAGAGAUUGGGAAGAACACCGGUGGCGAAAGCGCUCUGCUGGACCUUUUCUGACACUCAGGGACGAAAGCUAGGGGAGCGAAUGGG